Molecule: ribosomal RNA, 466 nt
Filed under: uncultured bacterium
Lineage: Bacteria
Description: partial 16S ribosomal RNA
Rfam family: Bacterial small subunit ribosomal RNA
Source: RNAcentral
GACGAACGCUGGCGGCGUGCUUAACACAUGCAAGUCGAACGGAAAGGCCUCUUUCGGGGGGUACUCGAGUGGCGAACGGGUGAGUAACACGUGAGUAACCUGCCCUUGACUUUGGGAUAACUUCAGGAAACUGGGGCUAAUACCGGAUAGGAGCUCCUGCUGCCUGGUGGGGGUUGGAAAGUUUCGGCGGUUGGGGCUGGACUCGCGGCUUAUCAGCUUGUUGGUGGGGUAGUGGCUUACCAAGGCUUUGGCGGGUAGCCGGCCUGAGAGGGUGACCGGCGUCAUGGGGCCUGAGGUAGGCACCAGCCGCCAAUGGGGGGCAAUGGGGGGAAAAUUUGCACAAGGGGGGGGAGCCUGUGGCGAAAACGCCGGGGUUGGAAAGCCGGCUUUUGGGUUAAAAACCGCUUUCGCUUAAUACCACGCUUUUUUGACGGUAAGUGGAUAAAAAGCCCCGGCUAACUUCGUG